This 276-nucleotide ribosomal RNA is filed under the name uncultured bacterium. RNAcentral describes it as "partial 16S ribosomal RNA". It matches the Rfam family "Bacterial small subunit ribosomal RNA", at positions 335 to 604 of the family's 1533-position model. The record is from RNAcentral.
ACUCCUACGGGAGGCAGCAGUGGGGAAUAUUGGACAAUGGGCGAAAGCCUGAUCCAGCAAUGCCGCGUGUGUGAAGAAGGCCUUAGGGUUGUAAAGCACUUUCAGCAGGGAAGAAAAGCUCGGGGAUAAUACCCGGCCGUGCAUCGGUACCUGCAGAAGAAGCACCGGCUAACUCCGUGCCAGCAGCCGCGGUAAUACGGAGGGUGCAAGCGUUAAUCGGAAUUACUGGGCGUAAAGCGCGCGUAGGUGGUUUGGUAAGUCGGAUGUGAAAGCCCC